Molecule: ribosomal RNA, 268 nt
Filed under: uncultured Atopobium sp.
Lineage: Bacteria; Bacillati; Actinomycetota; Coriobacteriia; Coriobacteriales; Atopobiaceae
Description: partial 16S ribosomal RNA
Rfam family: Bacterial small subunit ribosomal RNA
Source: RNAcentral
AAAGUAGGCGAACGGCUGAGUAACACGUGGGCAACCUGCCCUUUGCACUGGGAUAGCCUCGGGAAACCGAGGUUAAUACCGGAUACUCCAUAUUUGUCGCAUGGCGAAUAUGGGGAAAAGGCUCCGGCGGCAAAGGAUGGGCCCGCGGCCUGUUAGCUAGUUGGUGGGGUAGUGGCCUACCAAGGCAAUGAUGGGUAGCCGGGUUGAGAGACCGACCGGCCAGAUUGAGACUGAGACACGGCCCAGACUCCUACGGGAGGCAGCAGUA